CCACAUCGCACUGCUGCGGGCAAAUGAAGUGAAUGUGCGUGUCGAUCCCGCCAGCCGUACAGAUCAUCCCCUCGCCGGAGAUCACCUCGGUCCCCGUCCCGACCACCAGGUUGGGGUCCACGCCGUUCAUCACGAACGGGUUCCCGGACUUCCCGAUGCCGACGAUCUUGCCGUCGCGGAUGCCGAUGUCGCCCUUGACGAUGCCCCACCAGUCGAGGACGACGACGUUGGUAAUGACCAGGUCGAGGUGCGGGGGGCCGACCAUUUUGGACGACAUGCCCAUGCCGUCCCGG
This 293-nucleotide small RNA is filed under the name Fimbriiglobus ruber. RNAcentral's name for it is "5' ureB small RNA". It matches the Rfam family "5' ureB small RNA". The record is from Rfam by way of RNAcentral. Lineage: Bacteria; Pseudomonadati; Planctomycetota; Planctomycetia; Gemmatales; Gemmataceae.